This 588-nucleotide ribosomal RNA is filed under the name Chaetomium globosum. RNAcentral describes it as "eukaryotic LSU rRNA". It matches the Rfam family "Eukaryotic large subunit ribosomal RNA", at positions 32 to 643 of the family's 3401-position model. The record is from RNAcentral. Lineage: Eukaryota; Fungi; Ascomycota; Sordariomycetes; Sordariales; Chaetomiaceae.
AGUCACGACGCAUAUCAAUAAGCGGAGGAAAAGAAACCAACAGGGAUUGCCCUAGUAACGGCGAGUGAAGCGGCAACAGCUCAAAUUUGAAAUCUGGCUUCGGCCCGAGUUGUAAUUUGCAGAGGAAGCUUUAGGCGCGGCACCUUCUGAGUCCCCUGGAACGGGGCGCCAUAGAGGGUGAGAGCCCCGUAUAGUUGGAUGCCUAGCCUGUGUAAAGCUCCUUCGACGAGUCGAGUAGUUUGGGAAUGCUGCUCAAAAUGGGAGGUAAAUUUCUUCUAAAGCUAAAUACCGGCCAGAGACCGAUAGCGCACAAGUAGAGUGAUCGAAAGAUGAAAAGCACUUUGAAAAGAGGGUUAAAUAGCACGUGAAAUUGUUGAAAGGGAAGCGCUUGUGACCAGACUUGCGCCGGGCGGAUCAUCCGGUGUUCUCACCGGUGCACUCCGCCCGGCUCAGGCCAGCAUCGGUUCUCGCGGGGGGAUAAAGGUCCUGGGAACGUAGCUCCUCCGGGAGUGUUAUAGCCCGGGGCGUAAUGCCCUCGCGGGGACCGAGGUUCGCGCAUCUGCAAGGAUGCUGGCGUAAUGGUCAUCA